This is a non-coding RNA of Musa acuminata subsp. malaccensis (wild Malaysian banana), 938 nucleotides long. The record is from RefSeq and is a predicted model, not a curated record. Lineage: Eukaryota; Viridiplantae; Streptophyta; Magnoliopsida; Zingiberales; Musaceae.
CCUCCCUUCGCUUCCUUGGGCGACUCUGAUCAGAUCGAGUCUUGCUCUCGAUCUAUAGGUUCCGAAUCGGAGGCGCCGACCCGCGAUUCUCGCUAGCUAGGUCUGGAUCUUCCUUGGCCGGACCCGAGGCAUGCAUUUUGCAAUGCACACUAUGGAUCUUCUGAGAAUAAACGCAAUAAGGAUUCCAAACAAGCAGAAAAUAUUGAACCUGCAAGCAAUGCCAAUAGGAAAGAAGCAUUAGAUGCAGCCGCUUGGAUGUUUAAUGUUGUGACAUCUGUUGGAAUUAUUAUGGUUAAUAAGGCCCUAAUGUCCACCCACAGAUUCAACUUUGCUUGCUAAACAGCAAGCAAAUAUCAAUAGAAUUCCAAGUACAACUUUUGCUGAGGGAAUGAAUGCUCCUUGGUGAGAAGUAUGUCAGAUAUUAUGUUCUCUCUUUGAUAUUUCUGUUAAUGGUUAUAACCUUAGAUAUUACCAGAUUAAUAGUUAUUGACAUUUUGUAUCUUUUAAUAUGUAUGCAAAUUUGCAUUAGGAUACCUAUUUUGACAUGAUGUCCUAUCGCCUAAUUUUCGAUUGGCAGGUGAUCUGUUCAUUGUUAGUUUAAGAAUUCUUCUCAUUGUUUAUUGUGUUUCUGAGGGCAUGGUUUUUAUAAUGUUAUUUUUUGCUCAUUUCUGUGGGUGCCUUUUGUUCAUACUAGGUUAAUAUAUGUUUCAGCAAAGUGUUUCUUUCUCUAAUAUUUGUUUAAUAAUGUUAAAUAAUAAGUUCCUUCAGCAAUUUAUCUUCAUGGUAAGUGUUUAGUUUUUACGCAAAUGAUAUUCCAGCAUUUUUUUCACUUAGUCCAAUAAAUGUGCACAUUUUCAGUCUUUGUUUCAUGUAGACCCACUGAUUCAAGGUGCUUUUGUCUUCCAACUGCAACAAAAUGGCUUUAACACCUUCCAAAA